AUUCAUAUCGAAGACUCAGCUUAAUUCACACACCAUCUAAUAUCACAAAAAUGGCUUCAGUAGCUGCAUCUUCUUCUCUAGCGAUGAAAUUGCUCUUGGUACUCGUCAGCCUUGUCUUCAUAGUUCAUAUGGUUCAACUCACAUCUCAUGAAACUUCAUUUUCUCCAUCGCUCGCCGCUAAGUUUACUGCACGACGAGGCCUGGACGAUUGUGAGGAAAGGAGUUCAGUUUGCGGAAGUAGAUCUAGACGGAGUCGGCAUGGGAAAAAAUAAAUAUAGGCCUGUUGGUUCAUCUAUCAUGCUAAGCGGAUACGAACGCUUAGAAUAUAAUUUUAAUUCUGUCCAAAAUAAUUAUUGUUUUGAUUCAAUAAUACUCGACUCCCAUUUCGCAUUCA
This is a long non-coding RNA of Daucus carota subsp. sativus, 394 nucleotides long. RefSeq lists it as uncharacterized. The record is from RefSeq and is a predicted model, not a curated record. The transcript is spliced from 2 exons. Lineage: Eukaryota; Viridiplantae; Streptophyta; Magnoliopsida; Apiales; Apiaceae.